RNAcentral lists this ribosomal RNA (1372 nucleotides) under uncultured bacterium. Its description in RNAcentral is "bacterial SSU rRNA". It matches the Rfam family "Bacterial small subunit ribosomal RNA", at positions 28 to 1381 of the family's 1533-position model. The record is from RNAcentral.
GAUGAACGCUGGCGGCGUGCCUAAUACAUGCAAGUCGAGCGAACGGACGAGAAGCUUGCUUCUCUGAUGUUAGCGGCGGACGGGUGAGUAACACGUGGAUAACCUACCUAUAAGACUGGGAUAACUUCGGGAAACCGGAGCUAAUACCGGAUAAUAUUUUGAACCGCAUGGUUCAAAAGUGAAAGACGGUCUUGCUGUCACUUAUAGAUGGAUCCGCGCUGCAUUAGCUAGUUGGUAAGGUAACGGCUUACCAAGGCAACGAUGCAUAGCCGACCUGAGAGGGUGAUCGGCCACACUGGAACUGAGACACGGUCCAGACUCCUACGGGGGGCAGCAGUAGGGAAUCUUCCGCAAUGGGCGAAAGCCUGACGGAGCAACGCCGCGUGAGUGAUGAAGGUCUUCGGAUCGUAAAACUCUGUUAUUAGGGAAGAACAUAUGUGUAAGUAACUGUGCACAUCUUGACGGUACCUAAUCAGAAAGCCACGGCUAACUACGUGCCAGCAGCCGCGGUAAUACGUAGGUGGCAAGCGUUAUCCGGAAUUAUUGGGCGUAAAGCGCGCGUAGGCGGUUUUUUAAGUCUGAUGUGAAAGCCCACGGCUCAACCGUGGAGGGUCAUUGGAAACUGGAAAACUUGAGUGCAGAAGAGGAAAGUGGAAUUCCAUGUGUAGCGGUGAAAUGCGCAGAGAUAUGGAGGAACACCAGUGGCGAAGGCGACUUUCUGGUCUGUAACUGACGCUGAUGUGCGAAAGCGUGGGGAUCAAACAGGAUUAGAUACCCUGGUAGUCCACGCCGUAAACGAUGAGUGCUAAGUGUUAGGGGGUUUCCGCCCCUUAGUGCUGCAGCUAACGCAUUAAGCACUCCGCCUGGGGAGUACGACCGCAAGGUUGAAACUCAAAGGAAUUGACGGGGACCCGCACAAGCGGUGGAGCAUGUGGUUUAAUUCGAAGCAACGCGAAGAACCUUACCAAAUCUUGACAUCCUUUGACAACUCUAGAGAUAGAGCCUUCCCCUUCGGGGGACAAAGUGACAGGUGGUGCAUGGUUGUCGUCAGCUCGUAUCGUGAGAUGUUGGGUUAAGUCCCGCAACGAGCGCAACCCUUAAGCUUAGUUGCCAUCAUUAAGUUGGGCACUCUAAGUUGACUGCCGGUGACAAACCGGAGGAAGGUGGGGAUGACGUCAAAUCAUCAUGCCCCUUAUGAUUUGGGCUACACACGUGCUACAAUGGACAAUACAAAGGGCAGCGAAACCGCGAGGUCAAGCAAAUCCCAUAAAGUUGUUCUCAGUUCGGAUUGUAGUCUGCAACUCGACUACAUGAAGCUGGAAUCGCUAGUAAUCGUAGAUCAGCAUGCUACGGUGAAUACGUUCCCGGGUCU